This 346-nucleotide ribosomal RNA is filed under the name uncultured bacterium. RNAcentral describes it as "partial 16S ribosomal RNA". It matches the Rfam family "Bacterial small subunit ribosomal RNA", at positions 338 to 681 of the family's 1533-position model. The record is from RNAcentral.
CCUACGGGUGGCAGCAGUGAGGAAUAUUGGUCAAUGGACGGAAGUCUGAACCAGCCAUGCCGCGUGCAGGAAGACGGCUCUAUGAGUUGUAAACUGCUUUUGUAAAAGGGUAAACCGGAAUACGUGUAUGCAGCUGAAAGUACGGUACGAAUAAGGAUCGGCUAACUCCGUGCAAGCAGCCGCGGUAAUACGGAGGAUCCAAGCGUUAUCCGGAUUUAUUGGGUGUACAGGGUGCGUAGGCGGAUUGUUAAUUUAGCGGUGAAAUGUCCGAGCUCAACUCGGGAACUGCCUCUCAUACUGUUGAUCUAGAUCGUAGAUGCGGUAGGCGUAAUGUAUGGUGUAGCGG